GGCGUGCUUAACACAUGCAAGUCGAGCGGUAAGGCCUUUCGGGGUACACGAGCGGCGAACGGGUGAGUAACACGUGGGUGAUCUGCCCUGCACUCUGGGAUAAGCUUGGGAAACUGGGUCUAAUACCGGAUAUGACCGCAUGCCGCAUGGUGUGUGGUGGAAAGAUUUAUCGGUGCAGGAUGGGCCCGCGGCCUAUCAGCUUGUUGGUGGGGUAAUGGCCUACCAAGGCGACGACGGGUAGCCGACCUGAGAGGGUGACCGGCCACACUGGGACUGAGACACGGCCCAGACUCCUACGGGAGGCAGCAGUGGGGAAUAUUGCACAAUGGGCGGAAGCCUGAUGCAGCGACGCCGCGUGAGGGAUGAAGGCCUUCGGGUUGUAAACCUCUUUCAGCAGGGACGAAGCGUGAGUGACGGUACCUGCAGAAGAAGCACCGGCUAACUACGUGCCAGCAGCCGCGGUAAUACGUAGGGUGCGAGCGUUGUCCGGAAUUACUGGGCGUAAAGAGUUCGUAGGCGGUUUGUCGCGUCGUUUGUGAAAACCCGGGGCUCAACUUCGGGCUUGCAGGCGAUACGGGCAGACUUGAGUGUUUCAGGGGAGACUGGAAUUCCUGGUGUAGCGGUGAAAUGCGCAGAUAUCAGGAGGAACACCGGUGGCGAAGGCGGGUCUCUGGGAAACAACUGACGCUGAGGAACGAAAGCGUGGGUAGCAAACAGGAUUAGAUACCCUGGUAGUCCACGCCGUAAACGGUGGGCGCUAGGUGUGGGUUCCUUCCACGGGAUCUGUGCCGUAGCUAACGCAUUAAGCGCCCC
This 813-nucleotide ribosomal RNA is filed under the name uncultured Rhodococcus sp. Its description in RNAcentral is "bacterial SSU rRNA". It matches the Rfam family "Bacterial small subunit ribosomal RNA", at positions 41 to 870 of the family's 1533-position model. The record is from RNAcentral. Lineage: Bacteria; Bacillati; Actinomycetota; Actinomycetes; Mycobacteriales; Nocardiaceae.